This 465-nucleotide ribosomal RNA is filed under the name Vreelandella stevensii. RNAcentral's name for it is "partial 16S ribosomal RNA". It matches the Rfam family "Bacterial small subunit ribosomal RNA", at positions 338 to 795 of the family's 1533-position model. The record is from RNAcentral. Lineage: Bacteria; Pseudomonadati; Pseudomonadota; Gammaproteobacteria; Oceanospirillales; Halomonadaceae.
CCUACGGGGUGCAGCAGUGGGGAAUAUUGGACAAUGGGCGAAAGCCUGAUCCAGCCAUGCCGCGUGUGUGAAGAAGGCCUUCGGGUUGUAAAGCACUUUCAGUGGGGAAGAAAGCCUUGGGGCUAAUACCCUCGAGGAAGGACAUCACCCACAGAAGAAGCACCGGCUAACUCCGUGCCAGCAGCCGCGGUAAUACGGAGGGUGCGAGCGUUAAUCGGAAUUACUGGGCGUAAGGCGCGCGUAGGCGGUCUGAUAAGCCGGUUGUGAAAGCCCCGGGCUCAACCUGGGAACGGCAUCCGGAACUGUCAGGCUAGAGUGCAGGAGAGGAAGGUAGAAUUCCCGGUGUAGCGGUGAAAUGCGUAGAGAUUGGGAGGAAUACCAGUGGCGAAGGCGGCCUUCUGGACUGACACUGACGCUGAGGUGCGAAAGCGUGGGUAGCAAACAGGAUUAGAUACCCGGGUAGUC